Molecule: unclassified non-coding RNA, 213 nt
Filed under: Hevea brasiliensis (rubber tree)
Lineage: Eukaryota; Viridiplantae; Streptophyta; Magnoliopsida; Malpighiales; Euphorbiaceae
Source: RNAcentral
UUAGAAGAAAGUUUCAAGCAUACUAGUUAUACAUUUAUUUAUUAGUAACUUUUUACCUCAUCAUUAAAAAUAAUGUAGUAGCAUAUAUGUGCAAUCCUGGCAUAAGUGUGUUAUCCACAUUGAGGACUUGUUUGUUAGUUCAUUGGUUACUAUUGUUCUUCUUGUUGUUGUGUCUUUGGCAUCCUCCUCUUUCAUUCUCUUUGAAAAUUUAAG